UCUAAAGUCUUGGUCAGGAUAUGAACUAU
This 29-nucleotide non-coding RNA is filed under the name Mus musculus (house mouse). The record is from RNAcentral. Lineage: Eukaryota; Metazoa; Chordata; Mammalia; Rodentia; Muridae.